Gasterosteus aculeatus aculeatus (three-spined stickleback) is the source of this 774-nucleotide long non-coding RNA. Lineage: Eukaryota; Metazoa; Chordata; Actinopteri; Perciformes; Gasterosteidae. The record is from Ensembl.
UGCACCUGUUUGCAAGAUUAGUACGCGUUGUUAAAAACAGUAAACAGGAGGCGCCUUCGUGCACAGCUGACGUGAGUGGGGGCUAAUUGGACGAAUCCGCAAUCCAGACUGAUGGGACGCCGCAACGGCCGACGGGGUUUACUUAGGCGCUGGAUUUCCCAGAGACGUGAGGAACGGAGGAAAUUAUGUUUACAGAGGGAGCGCGGUGCCCCUCGCUCAGAGGAACCAACAUUCCACCAGAGAGGCGGACGAAUGCAUACCAAGUAGGAAAUCGUUAUUUCUGCCUUUCACAAUGCGGGAAAUGAGGAGCAUGAAGCUUAUUCCUUGGUGGCAGAGACGGCUGCAGUCGAUGGUCAGACAUGGUUAAGCCCUCGUUUCGGCCAAUUUGGCACUCUGCUGGAGACCUGCAGACGUGGCCAAUCAGUGGCCGUAAUGGGAUCGCUAAUAAGCCUGAUUGUGCUCCGCUGUGCAGCUUUGAGACUGUAAUCAAUAUCUGAGCUGGCGUUGGAUUAUUGUUCUUGGUGUUUUCUGACUGCACGGAGCCGCUUUACUGUAACUGUUCACAUAUGCAGUUAAUCACUCAGGUGUUAUUACACAACUGACGUUGCAGCCAAAACAGUGUAACACAAAUGGACUUUCCUUUGCAUCUUCCUUCUUAAAUGCAGCAAUGUGUAUUCUGCACUUCAAGUGCGUUUUAAAAUUAAGCAGAAUGGGUCAUCGUGGACAGAAUCCGAGGCCCAGUUCCCUGUGUUUCCAUUAAAAAGUACCUAUGAA